Molecule: long non-coding RNA, 563 nt
Organism: Oncorhynchus tshawytscha (Chinook salmon)
Lineage: Eukaryota; Metazoa; Chordata; Actinopteri; Salmoniformes; Salmonidae
Source: Ensembl
GCAGCUGGAGAGGUGGCCUGGAAGGCAGCUGGAGAGGUGGCCUGGAAUGCAGCUGGAGAGGUGGCCUGGAAGGCAGCUGGAGAGGUGGCCUGGAAGGCAGCUGGAGAGGUGGCCUGGAAGGCAGCUGGAGAGGUGGCCUGGAAGGCAGCUGGAGAGGUGGCCUGGAAGGCAGCUGGAGCGGUGGCCUGGAAGGCAGCUGGAGAGGUGGCCUGGAAGGCAGCUGGAGAGGUGGCCUGGAAGGCAGCUGGAGCGGUGGCCUGGAAGGCAGCUGGAGCGGUGGCCUGGAAGGCAGCUGGAGAGGUGGCCUGGAAGGCAGCUGGAGAGGUGGCCUGGAAGGCAGCUGGAGAGGUGGCCUGGAAGGCAGCUGGAGAGGUGGCCUGGAUAGUUGUGGGCACAGUGGGCAAAUUGGCCUGAGGGGUGUCUGAAGAGGUGAGCUGGGAGGCAGCUGGCAAAACCAGUGUGUCAGCUGGAGCAGGACGGUCAGUGAUAAGUGAGGGUGCACAGUCACAUUCCUGAAAUAGUCACAUUCCUGAAAUAUAUCAGGGUUGUAUGGCCAAAUGCCA